AACAAUAUACCUACACCAUAAUAAGAUAUAUAAUAUAUCUACAAGAGUAUAUAAUAUACCUCUACCACAGGAUGAACAAAAAUAAAAAAUAAAAAGAAGAAGAAGAAUAAUAAUAAUAAUAAUAGAUCUACAUUAUAAAAUACAAAAAAGGAAUGUAAUCCUAUUUGGUAGAAAAGUCAAAGGACUUGUAUCAACGACAACAAAUAUAAGAAUUAAACUCAACUUAUGUUCUUAAUUUUGGACUUAUCCCAAAAUUUCUUUAAAAAAAACUAAGAAUUUCAAACAAGGGGAGAUUGAAGACACCUGCCAGAAUAAAACGGAGCAAAUAGAAAAUGAUAACGUGCAUAUAUUCAUUGCCACAUCAAUGCGAUAUAUAUGCCUGUAGAUUACAAGAGAAAAAGCUCCUCUCCACUACAUACGCCUAGUAAUUUAACUCCCUAUCCUAGCGAAAAACACAAAAGAAAAAAAAAAUCCAAACAACACAAAGAAAAUUCUCACCAGCAGCCACUUGUCUAAUUACGCUUAAUGAAAACAUAGAAUAUACAUGCGAAAUUUACCACGACUCAUACGGUACAAAUUACAUACAUAAGUGCGUAUUACAAACUCAAGAAAGGCGCCUGUAGUUCAUGAGUUCAUUAAGCCAUCUCCAGUUAUAGGGCUAAAAAUUUAGCUCUCUAAUAUAUUAAUUUUUUAAAGAAUAGGGUAGGCUUAAAUUUUUCCAUCUCCAGCCAUGCAUGACUAUAUUUUAGGGCCCUUCGUAUUUUAUUAUUUUGAGAAAAAUAUGUUAC
RNAcentral lists this long non-coding RNA (788 nucleotides) under Prunus persica (peach). Its description in RNAcentral is "long non-coding RNA (PPER_LNC003320)". Lineage: Eukaryota; Viridiplantae; Streptophyta; Magnoliopsida; Rosales; Rosaceae. The record is from RNAcentral.